GGUGGUGGAGCUGCGUAGUGGAAUGUUUUGUUUAUGUUUAUUAUGUUAUCGUUACUUUAAGAUUAAUAUAUUUGUGUUUAAACAAAUCGAUGUCGUCGUUUAGGUCCUUUAAAAUUUUUUAUUGUUAACAUAACCAUUAAUUCAAUCAAGAUGCUGUAGUAAUAUAAAAGAAUUUAAACUGACUCUUUAGAGUUUGUAAUUAAGGUUAUAAGUGUAACAUGGCGGAUAGAGAUUUUCCGAGAAAUGAUCUUGAGGCUCCAUCCAAGCCACUGGUUCAGAGCUCUAUUUCAGAUGAAAAUCAGAAAUCAGAAUUGAAGCCUCCAGAAGUAUUGUUUGAAAGUUCCAAGGUAGUGGCACUUGAUGAUAGGAAGCAUAUUGGUAAUAAUGCUAACAGCAACAAUAGCAAUGGAGCACCAAAACCACAUCAGGUUGAGAGAGAAGGCAAUUGCUACUGUGGCAAGGAUCGUAACUUGAACAUCGUAGAGCUACUGUGUGCCAUCUGUUUCCGUUGGUACCAUGAAUCUUGCAUUGGUUACCAACUUGGAAAAUUGGUCCCGUUUAUGAUGAAUUAUUUUUUUGUUUGCAAAAAUUGUUCCCCCACGGGUCUUGAAAGCUUCAAAAAGAACCAAGCACCAUUUCCUCAGAUGUGUGUCACAGCACUUGGGAAUUUGAUGCAAGCCAGUGUGAAAGAAGGAUCACCACGUACAAUGUUCUCCAAGGAACGAGAUAUUAUUCCAUUCAUUGAUUCUCAUUGGGAGGGAAUGACCACAAUGCCUCGAAGAGUGACACAGUCAUGGCAUUCAACAAUUAAUCGGGCUCUGACGAAGGAUGUUGGGACACUGUUUAUAUGUGAAGAAGACUCCAGUGAUGGGGGCCAGCCCCUAUUUGGGCUGCUGGCUGCAGAUCUAACUCAUAUCAAACCAAAUUAUGAGGCAAUGAUUCGUGGGGGCCAUCUCAAAGUUACCGAUAUGGGCAUUCAGCAUGGUGGUGUUAAGGGUCGCAGCACAAAGAGAAAGCUGCCAGGUGGUGAUCAGGGUCAGGGAGCAGGCAAGAAAGGUCGAGGUGGUGGUGAGGCAGCUGCCCCUAAGCUUCCUGCUCAUGGGUACCCACUGGAGCAUCCGUACAACAAAGAUGGAUACCGUUACAUCUUAGCAGAGCCAGAUCCACAUGCACCAUUUCGACAAGAAUUUGAUGAAAGCAGUGACUGGGCUGGGAAACCUAUACCGGGUUGGCUGUAUCGCACUCUGAGUCCAAGCUCGGUCCUGCUAGCCCUGCAUGAUCGGGCUCCACAGCUGCGAAUAUCAGAGGAUCGCCUUGCCGUGACAGGGGAUAAGGGUUACUGCAUGGUCAGGGCAACACACGCUGUGAGCCGAGGCUCUUGGUACUGGGAGGCUACUAUUGAAGAAAUGCCAGAAUCAUCUGCAACCCGUCUUGGCUGGGCACAAGAAUAUGCGAAUCUACAGGCUCCCCUUGGUUACGACAAAUUUGGAUAUUCUUGGAGAUCUAGGAAGGGCACCAGGUUCCAUGAAUGCAGAGGAAAGCACUAUAGUUCAGGCUAUGGAGAGGGGGACACAUUGGGCUUUCUUAUCAUUCUUCCAGAAUCCCCUGAAAUUAAUUACAUUCCUCAUACAUACAAAGACAGGCCACUGGUGAAGUUCAAAAGUCAUUUAUAUUAUGAAGAGAAGGACCGAGUUACAGAAAGUUUGAAGGCACUGAAAGUUCUUUCAGGCAGUAAAUUGAUUUUCUUCAAGAAUGGAGCGUGUCAGGGGGUUGCCUUCAGUGACAUAUAUGGUGGACAUUACUUCCCUACACUUUCUAUACACAAAAGUGCUACUGUUUCUGUCAAUUUUGGCCCCAACUUCAAAUAUUCACCAUCUAACAUGUCAUUUCGAGGGAUGUACGAGAAAGCAGAAGAAGCUAUCUGUGAGCAGACAAUGGCCGACCUUUUGUAUCUAACAGAAAAUGAAGGAAAGUUACGCCUGGACACAUAUUGCAUGUAACACUUGUAAAUAUUGCAGAACUGCCAGCUUUGUUGUCUCUGCAUUAUCUGAACUGAAGAGUUAAAAGAUUUUCUUAAACCUAUGGGAUCUCGUCUACUUGCAACUGUGUGCUGAUUAGGAGUCCUCUACAAGCAGAAGCCCUGCCUACUAUUUUCUGCAUGCCCACAAGCAUGGAUCACUCAUAUUCUGCUCACAAAUGAAUACCUGGUGUGGAGCUGCAUGAAGCAGAUAGUAAGGAAGAUGGCUCAAAUUGCACAACAUCUGAAUAUGCAUCUGACCUUGCUGAUUUCUCGCCCUGUCUUAUCUGGACCACACACACAGGCUUGAUAUGCAAGAGCCAAAUUAAAAGCAAAAUUAGUGUACCAGAACUUAAUAAUGCAAGACGCAUGUAAUAGAAUAUAAAAUAAAGCAAAUGCAGUAAUGUGGUUUAAGAAA
Cryptotermes secundus is the source of this 2435-nucleotide RNA transcript. It is a transcript of the gene named set1/Ash2 histone methyltransferase complex subunit ASH2, with no coding region annotated. The record is from RefSeq and is a predicted model, not a curated record. The transcript has 13 exons. NCBI's taxonomy places the organism in Eukaryota, Metazoa, Arthropoda, Insecta, Blattodea, Kalotermitidae.